GAGCGGUAGAGAGAAGCUUGCUUUUCUUGAGAGCGGCGGACGGGUGAGUAAUGCCUAGGAAUCUGCCUGGUAGUGGGGGAUAACGUUCGGAAACGGACGCUAAUACCGCAUACGUCCUACGGGAGAAAGCAGGGGACCUUCGGGCCUUGCGCUAUCAGAUGAGCCUAGGUCGGAUUAGCUAGUUGGUGAGGUAAUGGCUCACCAAGGCGACGAUCCGUAACUGGUCUGAGAGGAUGAUCAGUCACACUGGAACUGAGACACGGUCCAGACUCCUACGGGAGGCAGCAGUGGGGAAUAUUGGACAAUGGGCGAAAGCCUGAUCCAGCCAUGCCGCGUGUGUGAAGAAGGUCUUCGGAUUGUAAAGCACUUUAAGUUGGGAGGAAGGGCAGUUACCUAAUACGUAUCUGUUUUGACGUUACCGACAGAAUAAGCACCGGCUAACUCUGUGCCAGCAGCCGCGGUAAUACAGAGGGUGCAAGCGUUAAUCGGAUUUACUGGGCGUAAAGCGUGCGUAGGCGGCUGAUUAAGUCGGAUGUGAAAUCCCUGAGCUUAACUUAGGAAUUGCAUUCGAUACUGGUCAGCUAGAGUAUGGGAGAGGAUGGUAGAAUUCCAGGUGUAGCGGUGAAAUGCGUAGAGAUCUGGAGGAAUACCGAUGGCGAAGGCAGCCAUCUGGCCUAAUACUGACGCUGAGGUACGAAAGCAUGGGGAGCAAACAGGAUUAGAUACCCUGGUAGUCCAUGCCGUAAACGAUGUCUACUAGCCGUUGGGGCCUUUGAGGCUUUAGUGGCGCAGCUAACGCGAUAAGUAGACCGCCUGGGGAGUACGGUCGCAAGACUAAAACUCAAAUGAAUUGACGGGGGCCCGCACAAGCGGUGGAGCAUGUGGUUUAAUUCGAUGCAACGCGAAGAACCUUACCUGGUCUUGACAUAGUAAGAACUUUCCAGAGAUGGAUUGGUGCCUUCGGGAACUUACAUACAGGUGCUGCAUGGCUGUCGUCAGCUCGUGUCGUGAGAUGUU
Molecule: ribosomal RNA, 1017 nt
Filed under: uncultured bacterium
Lineage: Bacteria
Description: bacterial SSU rRNA
Rfam family: Bacterial small subunit ribosomal RNA
Source: RNAcentral